This 97-nucleotide non-coding RNA is filed under the name chicken gut metagenome. The record is from RNAcentral.
UUUGGUGACUGCGCUCCUCUUAAGCCAGUUACCGCGGUUCAGAAACUUGCCGGUUGCUGAACCUUCGAAAAACCACCUUGCCGGGUGGUUUUUUCGU